GCCUAACUCACCUGAGAACCCUCUCUCUCGCUGCUCAUGUCUCCUUAUAAUCAAGUCCAGGCAUUUCUCCCCGCUGUCCGCCUCCUGAAGCUCUUCCCUCUUCUCCAUCUCACACGUCUCCAUCACCCCUCCUCGGGACUAUUCCAGGUGCCCAGGCCAAAGCCUACCAGGGGGCCAGAGAGAAGUGGAGGACUGGAAGUUCUGGCAAGUUCUACCUGGAAGCAGGGGCCAAGAAGCACCUACCCAUGGGGGCCAGUGUCUGGCAGGUCCUUGGAGGCUGCUGUGUUCUCACGCCUCACCACCAGGCCCCAAGACUGCUGUAGAUUCGCACUGUUGGAGUUCACCUUCGGUUUUCCACUUCUCUCAACUUGUGAAGCCGGGACAGAAUAUCACCUUUCAGGAGGCGUGCUGCCUCAUUUGGAGCUGUUAAGAUACGAGAAGCAAAAGCUUAAUUGAUGGAGAGUGACAAGAACUCAGUCCCAUGCCACCCCUAAAAUGAAAAGGCACACGAGGCUGGAAAAUGCAGCCUAACUGCGCGUCCAAGGGGAAGAGGAUCCAGGUGUGGUUAGUAGCUGUCCAAUAUCUUCCCAGCACGUAUAAAGAAUAUACAGAAGCUCGAAUGACUGUUGAGGGAAUAGAAGAUGGAACUUGAGAGGUGGGUUGUGCCAUUUACUGACACGGGGAAGACUGGAGAAGGAGAAGGGGACAGAAAUGAAAGACUCUCAACUAGACAUCACGUUUACAAUGCCUAUCAGCCAGCCAAGCGAAGAACUUAAGUGGACAAUUGGAGAGGGGAAGCUCGUGGUGGGAGGAAAGGAGAGAUUGGGGCUGGAGAUGUAAAAUUUGGAGUUAUCAGGGUGUUGGUAUAUGAAACCAAGAGACUUCAUGAGACCACCUAAUCUCAGUAGAGAAGAGAAGAAUUUUGAAGAUCAUGCUCAGGAACAUUCCAAUAUUUAAUGCUCAGAAAUAAAAAGGGUCUAAGAGGUUAUUAGAUCAAACCCCUCAUCUUUUCAGUGAAGAAACUAAGGCUUAAAUGAUUAAGUUGUUCAUGCAAGAUCACAUAAUUUGUGCUGGCAGAAUUCAGCUACAAUCCAGAUCUUUGGGCUACUUUUGGGCUUCUUCAUCUGUCUUAUAAUCUAAAUAAUAAUUCUGGGGGCCAGCCUGGUGGCGCAGCAAUUAAGUGCCGCUUCUUGGCGGCCUGGAGUUCGCUGGUUUGAAUCCUGGGUGUGGACAUGGCACCGCUUGGCAAAAAGCCAUGCUGUGGUAGGCGUCCCACGUGUAAAGUAGAGGAAGAUGGGCACGGAUGUUAGCUCAGGGCCAGUCCUCCUCAGCAAAAAGAGGAGGAUUGGCUGUAGUUAACUCAGAGUUAAUCUUCUUCUUCAAAAAAAUAAUAAUUCUUGUGGUGAAGAAUAAGAGAGGAGAAUCAAUGAGAUGAAAGAAGAAGGGAAGGGAACAAAUUGUGCUGGAUAAUCCAUCUGCCCCACUUUGUCUGCUCUUCAUCCCACUAAUAGGAGCAGAACACAUUCUCUG
RNAcentral lists this long non-coding RNA (1530 nucleotides) under Equus asinus (donkey). RNAcentral describes it as "lncRNA (ENSEASG00005030244.1)". The record is from RNAcentral. Lineage: Eukaryota; Metazoa; Chordata; Mammalia; Perissodactyla; Equidae.